This 271-nucleotide unclassified non-coding RNA is filed under the name Peniophora albobadia. RNAcentral's name for it is "partial internal transcribed spacer region". The stretch from base 1 to 46 matches the Rfam family "Eukaryotic small subunit ribosomal RNA", at positions 1786 to 1831 of the family's 1831-position model. Lineage: Eukaryota; Fungi; Basidiomycota; Agaricomycetes; Russulales; Peniophoraceae. The record is from RNAcentral.
AAGUCGUAACAAGGUUUCCGUAGGUGAACCUGCGGAAGGAUCAUUAGCGAAGUUCGGAAUGCAUGUUCGAUGUUGAUGCUGCCCAGCAAUGGGAUGUGCUCGCUCGGAUGUGUGUCCCUUCUCUAUCCACCCCAUUGUGAACCAAGUGUGUGAGCCGAAGAGAAAUCAGAUGCUCGCAUGCAAACCUUUAACAUACCCCAAUAAAGUAUCAGAAUGUACCUUGCGUUAACUCGCACAAAUAUAACUUUCAACAACGGAUCUCUUGGCUCUC